CACGUAGGGCGCGAGCGUUGUCCGGAAUUAUUGGGCGUAAAGGGCUCGUAGGCGGUUUGUCGCGUCGAAAGUGAAAUUCCGGGGCUUAACUCCGGACUUGCUUUCGAUACGGGCAGGCUAGAGGUAGGCAGGGGAGAAUGGAAUUCCUGGUGUAGCGGUGGAAUGCGCAGAUAUCAGGAGGAACACCGGUGGCGAAGGCGGUUCUCUGGGCCUUACCUGACGCUGAGGAGCGAAAGUGUGGGGAGCGAAC
Molecule: ribosomal RNA, 250 nt
Filed under: uncultured prokaryote
Description: partial 16S ribosomal RNA
Rfam family: Bacterial small subunit ribosomal RNA
Source: RNAcentral